AAACUAGGGGAUGAUACCCUAUUAUUAAAGAGCUAUAAAUUGUAAGUAAAUAUUAAUUAUGAAAGCAAAAAAUUAUGGCGGUAUUUUAAGCUUUUCAGAGGAAUUUGCUCUUUAAUGGAUAAAACACCUAAAUCUUACUUAAAUUUGUCAAUUCAAUUUGUAUACCACUAUGUAAUUAAUUAUUAACUUUAAUUAAUAAAAUUUAUAAAAAUUAAAAAAAAUUAAGUCAAGGUGCAGUAAAAAUUUAAGGAUGAAGUGAAUUACAUUUCUUUUAAGAGAUUAUAAAUUUUAAAAUUAGUUUUAGGAUUUGAAAGUAAAAUUAAAAUAAAAUGUUAAUUUGAAUCAAGCUCUAAAAUAUGUACAUAUCGCCCGUCACUCUUUAUUAAGAUAAGUCUGAAACAUAGUA
RNAcentral lists this ribosomal RNA (406 nucleotides) under Rhipicephalus geigyi. RNAcentral describes it as "partial 12S ribosomal RNA". The record is from RNAcentral. Lineage: Eukaryota; Metazoa; Arthropoda; Arachnida; Ixodida; Ixodidae.